RNAcentral lists this unclassified non-coding RNA (329 nucleotides) under soil metagenome. RNAcentral describes it as "partial contains 5.8S ribosomal RNA, internal transcribed spacer 2, and large subunit ribosomal RNA". The stretch from base 1 to 120 matches the Rfam family "5.8S ribosomal RNA", at positions 35 to 154 of the family's 154-position model. The record is from RNAcentral.
GAUGAAGAACGUAGCGAAAUGCGAUAAGUAGUGUGAAUUGCAGAAUUCAGUGAAUCAUCGAAUCUUUGAACGCACAUUGCGCCCCUUGGUAUCCCGAGGGGCAUGCCUGUUCGAGCGUCAUUUCACCACUCAAGCCUGGCUUGGUGUUGGGCGACGUCCCCCUUGGGGACGCGCCUCGAAACGCUCGGCGGCGUGGCACCGGCUUUAAGCGUAGCAGAAUCUUUCGCGUUGGAAGUCGGGGCCCCGUCUGCCGGAAGACCUACUCGCAAGGUUGACCUCGGAUCAGGCAGGGAUACCCGCUGAACUUAAGCAUAUCAAUAAGCGGAGGA